AUUGAACGCUAGCGGGAUGCUUUACACAUGCAAGUCGAACGGCAGCGCGGACUUCGGUCUGGCGGCGAGUGGCGAACGGGUGAGUAAUGUAUCGGAACGUGCCCAGUAGCGGGGGAUAACUACGCGAAAGCGUAGCUAAUACCGCAUACGCCCUACGGGGGAAAGCAGGGGAUCGUAAGACCUUGCACUAUUGGAGCGGCCGAUAUCGGAUUAGCUAGUUGGUGAGGUAACGGCUCACCAAGGCGACGAUCCGUAGCUGGUUUGAGAGGACGACCAGCCACACUGGGACUGAGACACGGCCCAGACUCCUACGGGAGGCAGCAGUGGGGAAUUUUGGACAAUGGGGGCAACCCUGAUCCAGCCAUCCCGCGUGUGCGAUGAAGGCCUUCGGGUGGUAAAGCACUUUUGGCAGGAAAGAAACGUCGCGGGCUAAUACCCCGUGGAACUGACGGUACCUGCAGAAUAAGCACCGGCUAACUACGUG
RNAcentral lists this ribosomal RNA (484 nucleotides) under uncultured bacterium. Its description in RNAcentral is "partial 16S ribosomal RNA". It matches the Rfam family "Bacterial small subunit ribosomal RNA", at positions 30 to 507 of the family's 1533-position model. The record is from RNAcentral.